UUAAUCGGAAUUACUGGGCGUAAAGCGCACGUAGGUGGAUAUUUAAGUCGGAUGUGAAAGCCCCAAGGCUUAACCUGGGAAUUGCAUCCGAUACUGGAUGUCUCGAGUAUGGUAGAGGGAAGUGGAAUUUCCGGUGUAGCGGUGAAAUGCGUAGAUAUCGGAAAGAACACCAGUGGCGAAGGCGGCUUCCUGGACCAAUACUGACACUGAGGUGCGAAAGCGUGGGGAGCAAACAGGAUUAGAGACCCUGGUAGUCCACGCCGUCAACGAUGAGAACUAGCUGUUGGAGAGCUAACUUUCCAGUAGCGAAGCUUACGUGUUAAGUUCUCCCCCUGGGGAGUACGGCCGCAAGGUUA
RNAcentral lists this ribosomal RNA (356 nucleotides) under uncultured Coxiellaceae bacterium. Its description in RNAcentral is "bacterial SSU rRNA". It matches the Rfam family "Bacterial small subunit ribosomal RNA", at positions 541 to 896 of the family's 1533-position model. Lineage: Bacteria; Pseudomonadati; Pseudomonadota; Gammaproteobacteria; Legionellales; Coxiellaceae. The record is from RNAcentral.